CCCUUAGAUGUUCUGGGCCGCACGCGUGCUACACUGAGUAAAUCAAUGGGUAAGGGAACACGAAAGUGCAACCUAAUCUUGAAAUUUGCUCGUGAUGGGGAUCGACGGUUGCAAUUUUCCGUCGUGAACGAGGAAUACCUUGUAGGCGCGUGUCAUCAUCACGCGCCGAAUACGUCCCUGCCCUUUGUACACACCGCCCGUCGCUCCUACCGAUUGAGUGAUCCGGUGAGGCUCUGGGACCUGGACGGAAAGAGCGUUUCGCUUGUUCUGUUUGGGAAACUUGGUCGAGCCUUAUCAUUUAGAGGAAGGAGAAGUCGUAACA
RNAcentral lists this ribosomal RNA (322 nucleotides) under uncultured eukaryote. Its description in RNAcentral is "partial 18S ribosomal RNA". It matches the Rfam family "Eukaryotic small subunit ribosomal RNA", at positions 1470 to 1796 of the family's 1831-position model. The record is from RNAcentral.